GCCUCGCUGGCGCAGUCGGCAGCGCGUCAGUCUCAUAAUCUGAAGGUCGAGGGUUCGAACCCCUCGCGAGGCA
Molecule: non-coding RNA, 73 nt
Organism: Corticium candelabrum
Lineage: Eukaryota; Metazoa; Porifera; Homoscleromorpha; Homosclerophorida; Plakinidae
Source: the annotation of a RefSeq genome assembly